GGGCGUAUAGCUCAGUGGUAGAGCACUGUAUUGACAUUGCAGGGGUCGGGAGUUCAACUCUCUCUACGCCCACCA
RNAcentral lists this transfer RNA (75 nucleotides) under Erythrobacter sp. RNAcentral's name for it is "tRNA-Val". It matches the Rfam family "tRNA". Rfam says of the family: Transfer RNA (tRNA) molecules are approximately 80 nucleotides in length. Their secondary structure includes four short double-helical elements and three loops (D, anti-codon, and T loops). Further hydrogen bonds mediate the characteristic L-shaped molecular structure. tRNAs have two regions of fundamental functional importance: the anti-codon, which is responsible for specific mRNA codon recognition, and the 3' end, to which the tRNAs corresponding amino acid is attached (by aminoacyl-tRNA synthetases). tRNAs cope with the degeneracy of the genetic code in two manners: having more than one tRNA (with a specific anti-codon) for a particular amino acid; and 'wobble' base-pairing, i.e. permitting non-standard base-pairing at the 3rd anti-codon position. RNAcentral also lists the same sequence under 8 other names. The record is from RNAcentral. Lineage: Bacteria; Pseudomonadati; Pseudomonadota; Alphaproteobacteria; Sphingomonadales; Erythrobacteraceae.